AUUGAACGCUGGCGGCAUGCCUUACACAUGCAAGUCGAACGGCAGCACGGGGACAACCCUGGUGGCGAGUGGCGAACGGGUGAGUAAUGCAUCGGAACGUGCCCAGUAGUGGGGAUAACUAGUCGAAGAUUAGCUAAUACCGCAUACGACCUAUGGGUGAAAGCGGGGACCGUUUACCGUCCUCGCGCUAUCGGAGCGGCCGAUGUCUGAUUAG
Molecule: ribosomal RNA, 214 nt
Filed under: uncultured bacterium
Lineage: Bacteria
Description: partial 16S ribosomal RNA
Rfam family: Bacterial small subunit ribosomal RNA
Source: RNAcentral